This 1220-nucleotide unclassified non-coding RNA is filed under the name Schistocerca americana (American grasshopper). RNAcentral's name for it is "mitochondrial dicarboxylate carrier-like, transcript variant X4". Lineage: Eukaryota; Metazoa; Arthropoda; Insecta; Orthoptera; Acrididae. The record is from RNAcentral.
UCGUGAUCACGUCCCUUCCCUCAUUCGUCGAAAGGAGCUGAAACAUCUCAACAGUAGCUAACAUUAGCUACAGUACACACGAAGUAAAAGUGCCAGUAAAUACACGGUAUUUUCUAGAUAUGAUUCAGUAAGAAGCAUGGUGGUAAACGCGUGCCGUCGGUCGAAGUCACUGUUUUUGGCUUGAACAUCUUUGCUAAAUAAAUGUGGCGAGCAAGAUAAUGAUGCGGAAUACAGGAGAAGAAAGGCGUAUCGCUACGUGGUGGAUGGGUGGUGUCGCCUCAGCUGGUGCUUGUUGCUUCACGCAGUGCCUUGACACAGUGAAGGUUCAAAUGCAAACCCAACAAGAAGUUCGCCGCACAAUGUUACAAACAACAAUGGACAUAAUUCAUUCAGAUGGCAUUCUUGCUCUAAAUAAUGGACUGUCAGCUGCUAUAAUGAGGCAACUUACUUAUUCCACCUUCCGCUUUGCCUUUUAUGAGGCUGUGAAGCAACGCAUGGACCCUAAAGGAAAUAAUGUUCCUUUCCACCUUAAAAUAGGAAUAGCAGCAGUUGGUGGUACAAUUGGUGGUUUCAUUGGAACACCAGCAGAUGUAAUAAAUGUUCGUAUGCAGAAUGAUAUGAAACUUCCUCAAAACCAAAGGAGAAAUUAUCGACAUGUAUUUGACGGGCUGGCACGCAUAUACAAAGAAGAAGGCAUGCAUGGACUUUUCUCAGGAGCGACUAUGGCUACUGGUCGAUCGAUAUUGAUGACUGUGGGUCAACUAACUUUCUAUGACCAGUGCAAAGGCAUGCUAAUGUAUUAUUUAGAUCUCAAAGACAACAUUAGCACCCACUUCCUAGCAAGCAUUGUGGCGCAUCCAAAUGGCAAUCAGGUUCUCUGCAUCAAGUAUCUGCAGUGUCACAUACAUGGCAGCUCCACUUCACCAGAGAACAUGUUGCUUUCUGAUUGGUCACAAGACUACUGUGGACUUGACAGACUGGUGGAUCAUGUUUCUAAAGUGAUCCAUCUGUUUCCAGAUACUGUUUGUAUAUUGAACAGAGCCCAGCUGCCUGCACAGCAUCCAAUUUAACUAGUCAAGAGGGAGCAGUGGCUACUACACUAACUCAACCUAUUGAUGUGCUCAAAACACGUACUAUGAAUGCCCGACCAGGAGAAUUUAAGAGUAUGUGGCAUAUUAUUCUGCACACAGCUAAGUUGGGGCCACAAGGCUUCUUCAAGG